RNAcentral lists this ribosomal RNA (259 nucleotides) under uncultured prokaryote. RNAcentral's name for it is "partial 16S ribosomal RNA". It matches the Rfam family "Bacterial small subunit ribosomal RNA", at positions 526 to 784 of the family's 1533-position model. The record is from RNAcentral.
CGGAGGAUCCGAGCGUUAUCCGGAUUUAUUGGGUUUAAAGGGUGCGCAGGCGGGAUGUUAAGUCGGCGGUGAAAUUUUGCAGCUCAACUGUAAAAGUGCCUUCGAUACUGGCUUCCUUGAGUGUGGAUGAAGUAGGCGGAAUUUGUGGUGUAGCGGUGAAAUGCUUAGAUAUCACGAGGAACUCCGAUUGCGCAGGCAGCUUACUAAACCACUACUGACGCUCAUGCACGAAGGCGUGGGGAUCAAACAGGAUUAGAUA